UUGAUGACGAGUGGCGGACGGGUGAGUAAUGCUUGGGAAUCUAGCUUAUGGAGGGGGAUAACUACGGGAAACUGUAGCUAAUACCGCGUAAUAUCGGAAGAUGAAAGUGCGGGACCGCAAGGCCGCAUGCCAUAGGAUGAGCCCAAGUGGGAUUAGGUAGUUGGUGAGGUAAAGGCUCACCAAGCCGACGAUCUCUAGCUGGUCUGAGAGGAUGACCAGCCACACUGGGACUGAGACACGGCCCAGACUCC
This 251-nucleotide ribosomal RNA is filed under the name uncultured Haemophilus sp. Its description in RNAcentral is "partial 16S ribosomal RNA". It matches the Rfam family "Bacterial small subunit ribosomal RNA", at positions 85 to 339 of the family's 1533-position model. The record is from RNAcentral. Lineage: Bacteria; Pseudomonadati; Pseudomonadota; Gammaproteobacteria; Pasteurellales; Pasteurellaceae.